GAUGAACGCUGGCGGUAUGCCUUAUACAUGCAGGUCGUACGAGAGUUUUUAACUCAAGUGGCGGACGGGUGAGUAACACGUAAGAAUUUGCCUUUAGGAGGGGGAUAACAACUGGAAACGGUUGCUAAUACCCCAUAUGCUUUCGAGUGAAAUGGUUUUUCCGCCUAAAGAGAAGCUUGCGGCUGAUUAGCUUGUUGGUGAGGUAAUAGCUCACCAAGGCGACGAUCAGUAUCUGGUUUGAGAGGACGAUCAGACACACUGGAACUGAGACACGGUCCAGACUCCUACGGGAGGCAGCAGUAGGGAAUUUUCCGCAAUGGGCGAAAGCCUGACGGAGCAAUACCGCGUGAGGGAUGACGGCCUAUGGGUUGUAAACCUCUUUUUUCAGGGAGGAAUAAAUGACGUGUACCUGAAGAAUAAGCAUCGGCUAACUCCGUGCCAGCAGCCGCGGUAAGACGGAGGAUGCAAGUGUUAUCCGGAAUCACUGGGCGUAAAGCGUCUGUAGGUGGUCAAAUAAGUCAACUGUUAAAUCUUGAGGCUCAACCUCAAAACCGCAGUCGAAACUAUUAGAC
This 572-nucleotide ribosomal RNA is filed under the name uncultured bacterium. RNAcentral's name for it is "bacterial SSU rRNA". It matches the Rfam family "Bacterial small subunit ribosomal RNA", at positions 28 to 641 of the family's 1533-position model. The record is from RNAcentral.